Molecule: long non-coding RNA, 108 nt
Organism: Sapajus apella (tufted capuchin)
Lineage: Eukaryota; Metazoa; Chordata; Mammalia; Primates; Cebidae
Exons: 3
Source: RefSeq, a predicted model, not a curated record
ACUGGAUGCUCAAAAGUGCAUUUGGCUCUUCUGAGAUUCAAGUAGAGCCUUUAAAAUUAACAUAAAUGAUUAUAGGGCCAGGCAUGGUGGCUCAUGCCUGUAAUCCCA